AUUGAACGCUGGCGGCAUGCCUUACACAUGCAAGUCGAACGGCAGCACGGGAGCAAUCCUGGUGGCGAGUGGCGAACGGGUGAGUAAUAUAUCGGAACGUGCCCAGUCGUGGGGAUAACGUAGCGAAAGCUACGCUAAUACCGCAUACGAUCUAUGGAUGAAANCGGGGGAUCGCAAGACCUCGCGCGAUUGGAGCGGCCGAUAUCAGAUUAGGUAGUUGGUGAGGUAAAGGCUCACCAAGCCGACGAUCUGUAGCUGGUCUGAGAGGACGACCAGCCACACUGGGACUGAGACACGGCCCAGACUCCACGGGAGGCAGCAGUGGGGAAUUUGGACAAUGGGCGCAAGCCUGAUCCAGCAAUGCGC
Molecule: ribosomal RNA, 366 nt
Filed under: uncultured bacterium
Lineage: Bacteria
Description: bacterial SSU rRNA
Rfam family: Bacterial small subunit ribosomal RNA
Source: RNAcentral